Molecule: long non-coding RNA, 222 nt
Filed under: Gallus gallus (chicken)
Lineage: Eukaryota; Metazoa; Chordata; Aves; Galliformes; Phasianidae
Source: RNAcentral
AGACAGCAUGAGGGGAGGCUCUACUUCCAUCCAGUCUUCUUGAAUAGCUUCUGCUUCAUGAACCCCAGAGCAAUUCAAUUCCAGUGUCCUUGCAGUCUGUCUCAAAGAAGGCAGAGUAUCAGAAGGAAACAGCUCUACCGUCUUCCCUGUAUCACUAACGGAAGGCAUCAAGCUCUCUCCUUCACUAAGCAAAGGUCAUGUUUUCCUCAUCAGCACUGCAAC